UGGGGAAUAUUGCGCAAUGGGGGAAACCCUGACGCAGCAACGCCGCGUGAAGGAUGAAGGUUUUCGGAUUGUAAACUUCUUUGAUGAGGGACGAACACAAUGACGGUACCUCAAAAACAAGCCACGGCUAACUACGUGCCAGCAGCCGCGGUAAUACGUAGGUGGCGAGCGUUGUCCGGAAUUACUGGGUGUAAAGGGCGUGUAGGCGGGAAAGCAAGUCAGAUGUGAAAUACCGGGGCUUAACUCCGGGGCUGCAUCUGAAACUGUUUUUCUUGAGGGUCGGAGAGGAAAGCGGAAUUCCUAGUGUAGCGGUGAAAUGCGGAGAUAUUAGGAGGAACACCAGUGGCGAAGGCGGCUUUCUGGACAGUAACUGACGCGGAGGCGCGAAAGCGUGGGGAGCGAACAGG
This 407-nucleotide ribosomal RNA is filed under the name uncultured prokaryote. RNAcentral's name for it is "bacterial SSU rRNA". It matches the Rfam family "Bacterial small subunit ribosomal RNA", at positions 355 to 776 of the family's 1533-position model. The record is from RNAcentral. RNAcentral also lists the same sequence under 1 other name.